Molecule: non-coding RNA, 96 nt
Organism: Mycena rebaudengoi
Lineage: Eukaryota; Fungi; Basidiomycota; Agaricomycetes; Agaricales; Mycenaceae
Source: the annotation of a GenBank genome assembly
GCCCUGGUUGAUUAAUGGUAAAUCACUCACACCUCUUUGAAACUGAACAUCGAGAGCUUGAUGUGGGAGACGGAGGUUCGAAUCCUCCCUGGGGCA